This 644-nucleotide ribosomal RNA is filed under the name uncultured bacterium. RNAcentral describes it as "bacterial SSU rRNA". It matches the Rfam family "Bacterial small subunit ribosomal RNA", at positions 28 to 635 of the family's 1533-position model. The record is from RNAcentral.
GACGAACGCUGGCGGCAUGGCUAAGACAUGCAAGUCGUACGGACCGUUUUUGCUUGCAUUGGCGGUUAGUGGCGAAAGGGAGAGUAAUACAUAGGUAACGUACCCCGGACACAGGGAUAACAGCGGGCUUCGGCCCUUUAGCGAAAGUGCUGCUAAUACCUGACGAUGUCAACGGAGUCGCAUGGCUUUAUGACCAAAGGUGGGGACCUUCGGGCCUACUGGUCUGGGAGCGGCCUAUGUCCUAUCAGCUUGUUGGUGAGGUAACGGCUCACCAAGGCUGCGACGGGUAGCGGGCGUGAGAGCGUGACCCGCCUCAUCGGGACUGAGACACUGCCCGGACACCUACGGGUGGCUGCAGUAACGAAUAUUGGGCAAUGGGCGAAAGCCUGACCCAGCAAUGCCGCGUGCAGGAGGAAGCCCCUCGGGGUGUAAACUGCUGUCAGGGUCUAGCAAGCAAUGAAGGUGAAUAAUCUUCUGCGUUGAGCCGACCCAAAGGAAGCCUCGGCUAACUCUGUGCCAGCAGCCGCGGUAAGACAGAGGAGGCAAGCGUUGUACGGAAUCAUUGGGCUUAAAGAGCGUGUAGGCGGCCAGGAAAGUGUUGUGUGAAAUCCCACGGCUCAACCGUGGAACUGCAUGGCAAACUG